RNAcentral lists this ribosomal RNA (497 nucleotides) under uncultured bacterium. RNAcentral describes it as "partial 16S ribosomal RNA". It matches the Rfam family "Bacterial small subunit ribosomal RNA", at positions 28 to 507 of the family's 1533-position model. The record is from RNAcentral.
GACGAACGCUGGCGGCGUGCCUAAUACAUGCAAGUAGAACGCUGAAGAGAGGAGCUUGCUCUUCUUGGAUGAGUUGCGAACGGGUGAGUAACGCGUAGGUAACCUGCCAUGUAGCGGGGGAUAACUAUUGGAAACGAUAGCUAAUACCGCAUAACAAUGGAUGACACAUGUCAUUUAUUUGAAAGGUGCAAUUGCUCCACUACAAGAUGGACCUGCGUUGUAUUAGCUAGUAGGUGAGGUAAUGGCUCACCUAGGCGACGAUACAUAGCCGACCUGAGAGGGUGAUCGGCCACACUGGGACUGAGACACGGCCCAGACUCCUACGGGAGGCAGCAGUAGGGAAUCUUCGGCAAUGGGGGCAACCCUGACCGAGCAACGCCGCGUGAGUGAAGAAGGUUUUCGGAUCGUAAAGCUCUGUUGUAAGUCAAGAACGGGUGUGAGAGUGGAAAGUUCACACUGUGACGGUAGCUUACCAGAAAGGGACGGCUAACUACGUG